CGGGCUGGCCGGGCGACCGCGUUGGCCGGAGUGAUCCGGUCACCGAGGAAGGUCCGGGCUCCACAGAGCAAGGUGGUGGGUAACACCCACCCGGGGUGACCCGCGGGACAGUGCCACAGAGAACAGACCGCCGGCCCUCUCCUCCGGGAGAGAGCUGGUAAGGGUGAAACGGUGGAGUAAGAGACCACCAGCGACCCGGGCGACCGGGUCGGCUCGGCAAACCCCACCUGGAGCAAGGUCAGACAGCGCACGUUCGAGGGCUGCUCGCCCGAGUGCGCGGGUAGAUCGCUGGAGGCUGUCGGUAACGGCAGUCGUAGAUGGAUGGUCGCCCCUCGGUGCUCGCACCGAGGACAGAACCCGGCCUACAGGCCAGCCCGUCCG
Molecule: RNase P RNA, 381 nt
Filed under: Nocardioides sp.
Lineage: Bacteria; Bacillati; Actinomycetota; Actinomycetes; Propionibacteriales; Nocardioidaceae
Description: RNase P RNA component class A
Rfam family: Bacterial RNase P class A
About the family: Ribonuclease P (RNase P) is a ubiquitous endoribonuclease, found in archaea, bacteria and eukarya as well as chloroplasts and mitochondria. Its best characterised activity is the generation of mature 5'-ends of tRNAs by cleaving the 5'-leader elements of precursor-tRNAs.
Source: RNAcentral